This 161-nucleotide ribosomal RNA is filed under the name Tilletia dactyloctenii. RNAcentral's name for it is "5.8S ribosomal RNA". It matches the Rfam family "5.8S ribosomal RNA". Rfam says of the family: 5.8S ribosomal RNA (5.8S rRNA) is a component of the large subunit of the eukaryotic ribosome. It is transcribed by RNA polymerase I as part of the 45S precursor that also contains 18S and 28S rRNA. Functionally, it is thought that 5.8S rRNA may be involved in ribosome translocation. Lineage: Eukaryota; Fungi; Basidiomycota; Exobasidiomycetes; Tilletiales; Tilletiaceae. The record is from RNAcentral.
UACAACUUUUGACAACGGAUCUCUUGGUUCUCCCAUCGAUGAAGAACGCAGCGAAAUGCGAUAAGUAAUGUGAAUUGCAGAAUUCAGUGAAUCAUCGAAUCUUUGAACGCACCUUGCGCCCUUAAGCAUUCUUAAGGGCAUGCCUGUUUGAGUGUCAUAAA